Non-coding RNA from Solanum lycopersicum (tomato), 876 nucleotides. The record is from RefSeq and is a predicted model, not a curated record. NCBI's taxonomy places the organism in Eukaryota, Viridiplantae, Streptophyta, Magnoliopsida, Solanales, Solanaceae.
UUUUUUUUGUACAUUAGCCCAUGUUUGAAUGUAUUGACUAUCUUGUUCGUCUCUUUUUUACGCUAUAUCCCAACUUAUGAAUGUGGCUCGAUUCUUAAAUGUAUCUGGUUGGGAAGUUUAUGAGGCUGGAAAGACAAAUAUACUAUGAAGAAAUGUCAGAAAAAAGUUUAAAGAUAGUAACUUUUUUUAGUGACACUAAAGAUUAGCAUGUUGCCGUAGCAUCAUUUCUUUUUUGAAUUGCUUUUUCUUGAGCUGAAUCGGGGAAACAACCUCGCUCUCUACCUAGGGGUAAGGUUUGUGUACUCUCUACCCUGCCCACCCCAACUUGUGCAAAUACAUUGGGUAUUGUUAAUGUUGUUGUUGUUGUACUAAAGAUUAACAUGAAGUUGGCUUCUUGUUGCCAGUGUAUGAUCUUCUCUUUUUCUCCGAUUAAUUUGUGGCGAUUUUCAUUUCCUUAAUCUGAAAUGCUUCAAGAAGGCAAACUCAAUGGAUUUGAUUCGUUCCAUAACUAUUUAUCUAGAAGUACUUAUGUAUGUUAAGAAGAAGGGAGCAAAUUAGACUGUUAAAUCAAUUGAAGCCUUGAUUACCGCCUCUCAAGUUCCCCCGAUUGAUCCCACGAUAGAGUUGCGCGAUCUUGAUGCUUUCCAGAAUAUUGAAGUUCCUCAUAGCUAUGUUUUUCUAGAUAAUAAUUAAUCAAAUAAAGUGAUGCGUUCACUUUUAUUCCAAAUGUCUGUACAAAAAGGAAAUUGAAAAUGGUGGAUAGAUUAUCAUAUAUAUAGAUCCUAGUUUCUCUUGAAGAUACUUCCUUAUUUAAUAUUUCCAUUGUUGUUUGUUCCAAUUUAAACAAGAGAUAUUUAUUAAAAUCAUCCUUCAUUA